UACGUAGGGGGCUAGCGUUGUCCGGAAUCAUUGGGCGUAAAGAGCUCGUAGGCGGUUUGUUGCGUCGGCUGUGAAAUCCCGAGGCUCAACCUCGGGUCUGCAGUCGAUACGAGCAAACUAGAGUGUUGCAGGGGAGACUGGAAUUCCUGGUGUAGCGGUGAAAUGCGCAGAUAUCAGGAGGAACACCGGUGGCGAAGGCGGGUCUCUGGGCAACAACUGACGCUGAGGAGCGAAAGCGUGGGGAGCGAACAGG
This 253-nucleotide ribosomal RNA is filed under the name uncultured bacterium. RNAcentral describes it as "partial 16S ribosomal RNA". It matches the Rfam family "Bacterial small subunit ribosomal RNA", at positions 524 to 776 of the family's 1533-position model. The record is from RNAcentral.